Malus domestica (apple) is the source of this 315-nucleotide long non-coding RNA. RefSeq lists it as uncharacterized. Lineage: Eukaryota; Viridiplantae; Streptophyta; Magnoliopsida; Rosales; Rosaceae. The record is from RefSeq and is a predicted model, not a curated record.
AUUAUUAGUCCACACCGUAGCCGACUUCAUUCAAGCACAGUGGAAGCACUCAUGUGUUCUCGAGACUGAUUCAAACUCUACUCGUGUUGAAGAUUCUUCAUUCGGUGAUGAUACUGAUGUGAAUGUGGCCUCUUUUGGUGACAACGAGUUGAUGAUACUUUGUGAUUGAACGUGUUCGAAACACAGAUUUCAAUUAGAUGAAAUUAUAUGAAAUAAUAGAGGGUUAACUCAGUUUUGUGAUGAAUUAGAUGAAAUUUGGUUGGUUUCGUAUGGUUGUUUUUUGUUAUCAGAAACACAGAUUUAUGAGCUGUUGCU